RNAcentral lists this ribosomal RNA (479 nucleotides) under uncultured soil bacterium. RNAcentral describes it as "bacterial SSU rRNA". It matches the Rfam family "Bacterial small subunit ribosomal RNA", at positions 26 to 522 of the family's 1533-position model. The record is from RNAcentral.
AGGACGAACGCUGGCGGCGUGCUUAACACAUGCAAGUCGAGCGGUAAGGCUCCUUCGGGAGUACACGAGCGGCGAACGGGUGAGUAACACGUGAGCAAUCUGCCCUUCACAUCGGGAUAACCCCCGGAAACGGGAGCUAGUACCGGAUACGACCACUUCAGGCAUCUGAUGGUGGUGGAAAGUUCUGGCGGUGAAGGAUGAGCUCGCGGCCUAUCAGCUUGUUGGUGGGGUAAUGGCCCACCAAGGCUUCGACGGGUAGCCGGCCUGAGAGGGUGACCGGCCACACUGGGACUGAGACACGGCCCAGACUCCUACGGGAGGCAGCAGUGGGGAAUAUUGGACAAUGGGCGAAAGCCUGAUCCAGCAACGCCGCGUGAGGGAUGACGGCCUGGUGUAACUCUUCUAGCGCAGACGAAGCGAAAGUGACGGUAUGCGCAGAAGAAAGACGACCGGCCAACUAACGUGACCAGCAAGCCGAC